AGAAUCAACGCUGGCGGCGUGCCUAACACAUGCAAGUCGCACGAGAAAGGGACUUCGGUCCUGAGUACAGUGGCGCACGGGUGAGUAACACGUGAAUAAUCUACCUCCGAGUGGGGAAUAACUGAGAGAAAUCUUAGCUAAUACCGCAUAACACUUACGAGUCAAAGCAGCAAUGCGCUUGGAGAGGAGUUCGCGGCAGAUUAGUUAGUUGGCGGGGUAAUGGCCCGCCAAGACGAUGAUCUGUA
RNAcentral lists this ribosomal RNA (245 nucleotides) under uncultured bacterium. RNAcentral's name for it is "partial small subunit ribosomal RNA". It matches the Rfam family "Bacterial small subunit ribosomal RNA", at positions 26 to 285 of the family's 1533-position model. The record is from RNAcentral.